AUGAGGGAAAUCCUCCACAUCCAGGGCGGCCAGUGCGGCAACCAGAUCGGGGCCAAGUUCUGGGAGGUGAUCUGCGACGAGCACGGCAUCGACCAGACCGGCAAGUACGCCGGCGACUCCGACCUCCAGCUCGAGCGCAUCAACGUCUACUACAACGAGGCCAGCGGCGGCCGCUUCGUGCCCCGCGCCGUCCUCAUGGACCUCGAGCCGGGGACCAUGGACUCCCUCCGCUCGGGGCCCUACGGCCAGAUCUUCCGCCCCGACAACUUCGUCUUCGGCCAGUCCGGCGCCGGCAACAACUGGGCCAAGGGCCACUACACCGAGGGCGCCGAGCUCAUCGACUCCGUCCUCGACGUCGUCCGCAAGGAGGCCGAGAACUGUGACUGCCUGCAAGGAUUUCAAGUUUGCCACUCUCUGGGAGGAGGAACUGGUUCUGGUAUGGGUACACUGCUCAUCUCCAAGAUCAGGGAGGAGUACCCAGAUAGGAUGAUGUUGACAUUCUCAGUCUUCCCAUCACCGAAGGUGUCUGACACUGUGGUGGAACCUUACAAUGCUACGCUCUCUGUACACCAACUUGUUGAGAAUGCUGAUGAGUGCAUGGUGCUUGACAAUGAGGCUCUCUACGACAUCUGCUUCCGCACUCUGAAGCUUGCUACACCCACAUUUGGUGAUCUGAACCAUCUUAUAUCUGCAACAAUGAGCGGUGUCACUUGCUGCCUCCGCUUCCCCGGUCAGCUGAACUCCGACCUCCGGAAACUCGCAGUCAACUUGAUCCCGUUCCCUCGCCUCCAUUUCUUCAUGGUUGGCUUUGCACCACUGACCUCAAGGGGUUCUCAGCAGUACCGUGCCCUCACUGUUCCUGAGUUGACCCAGCAGAUGUGGGACUCAAAGAACAUGAUGUGUGCUGCUGACCCGCGGCACGGCCGCUACCUCACAGCCUCUGCCAUGUUCCGUGGGAAGAUGAGCACCAAGGAGGUUGACGAGCAGAUGCUGAACGUCCAGAACAAGAACUCAUCAUACUUUGUGGAGUGGAUACCCAACAAUGUGAAGUCAAGCGUGUGUGACAUCCCUCCCACAGGCCUGUCAAUGUCGUCCACCUUUGUCGGCAACUCCACCUCCAUCCAGGAGAUGUUCCGCCGUGUGAGCGAGCAGUUCACUGCCAUGUUCAGGAGGAAGGCUUUCUUGCACUGGUACACCGGGGAGGGCAUGGAUGAGAUGGAGUUCACCGAGGCGGAGAGCAACAUGAACGAUCUGGUCGCUGAGUACCAGCAGUACCAGGAUGCCACAGCCGACGAGGAGGAAGAGUAUGACGAGGAGGAGGAAGAGGAGGCUGCCUAA
Molecule: ribosomal RNA, 1338 nt
Filed under: Triticum aestivum (bread wheat)
Lineage: Eukaryota; Viridiplantae; Streptophyta; Magnoliopsida; Poales; Poaceae
Description: partial small subunit ribosomal RNA
Source: RNAcentral